This 611-nucleotide ribosomal RNA is filed under the name uncultured bacterium. RNAcentral's name for it is "bacterial SSU rRNA". It matches the Rfam family "Bacterial small subunit ribosomal RNA", at positions 843 to 1454 of the family's 1533-position model. The record is from RNAcentral.
GUGGCGCAGCUAACGCACUAAGUAGACCGCCUGGGGAGUACGGCCGCAAGGUUAAAACUCAAAUGAAUUGACGGGGGCCCGCACAAGCGGUGGAGCAUGUGGUUUAAUUCGACGCAACGCGAAGAACCUUACCUGGCCUUGACAUGCAGAGAACUUUCCAGAGAUGGAUUGGUGCCUUCGGGAACUCUGACACAGGUGCUGCAUGGCCGUCGUCAGCUCGUGCCGUGAGAUGUUGGGUUAAGUCCCGUAACGAGCGCAACCCCUAUCCCUAGUUGCUAGCAGUUCGGCUGAGAACUCUAGGGAGACUGCCGGUGACAAACCGGAGGAAGGUGGGGAUGACGUCAGGUCAUCAUGGCCCUUACGGCCAGGGCUACACACGUGCUACAAUGGUGCGUACAGAGGGCUGCAAACCCGCGAGGGGGAGCUAAUCUCACAAAACGCAUCGUAGUCCGGAUCGGAGUCUGCAACUCGACUCCGUGAAGUCGGAAUCGCUAGUAAUCGCGAAUCAGAAUGUCGCGGUGAAUACGUUCCCGGGCCUUGUACACACCGCCCGUCACACCAUGGGAGUGGAUUGCACCAGAAGUGGUUAGUCUAACCUUCGGGAGGACGAU